Molecule: long non-coding RNA, 376 nt
Organism: Suricata suricatta (meerkat)
Lineage: Eukaryota; Metazoa; Chordata; Mammalia; Carnivora; Herpestidae
Exons: 2
Source: RefSeq, a predicted model, not a curated record
CAUGCGCAGAUCCGCCUCCUGCGAGGGUCAGUUAGGGUCUAAAAGGAAAGAAGCAGAGGUCAUGGGCUCAGGCCUGGAGAAUAGAGUUUCCCUGCGGACUCUCUUCUGUGUUGGUGGCUUGGUGACAGCCCGCUCCCAGGCAGCCCUAGCCACUGCCAUGGCACGGACUGAGCGAUGAACCUUUUGCUUUCUCCCUGCUUCCAGCCAUCCAGGCACAGAGAUGCCCGCUCAGGCCCCUGACCCCAGCCCCUGGCGCAGAGGCCUUUCCUCUGUUGACAGCCUGAAGACAGGUCAUUUUUCUUCUCUUCCCAUGUAAUGGCCUUUACUCCCCUACCCAUCACUCCCUUUUCAAACCUUAAUGGCUUUAACAUACACA